CCUACGGGAGGCAGCAGUAGGGAAUCUUUCACAAUGGGCGAAAGCCUGAUGGAGCAACGCCGCGUGCAGGAUGAAGGCCUUCGGGUUGUAAACUGCUUUUAUAAGCGAGAAAUAUGAUGGUAACUUAUGAAUAAGGAUCGGCUAACUACGUGCCAGCAGCCGCGGUCAUACGUAGGAUCCGAGCAUUAUCCGGAGUGACUGGGUGUAAAGAGUUGCGUAGGUGGCAUAAUAAGUAGCUAGUGAAAUCUGGUGGCUCAACCAUUCAGACUAUUAGCUAAACUGUUAAGCUCGAGACCGUUAGGGGUAACUGGAAUUUCUAGUGUAGGAGUGAAAUCCGUAGAUAUUAGAAGGAACACCAAUAGCGUAGGCAGGUUGCUGGGACGGUUCUGACACUAAGGCAUGAAAGCGUAGGGAGCAAACGGGAUUAGAUACCCGAGUAGUC
This 442-nucleotide ribosomal RNA is filed under the name uncultured bacterium. Its description in RNAcentral is "partial 16S ribosomal RNA". It matches the Rfam family "Bacterial small subunit ribosomal RNA", at positions 338 to 795 of the family's 1533-position model. The record is from RNAcentral.